RNAcentral lists this non-coding RNA (92 nucleotides) under Cervus elaphus hippelaphus. Lineage: Eukaryota; Metazoa; Chordata; Mammalia; Artiodactyla; Cervidae. RNAcentral also lists the same sequence under 1 other name. The record is from RNAcentral.
GUGUUGUAUGAAAGGAGAGAAGGUUAGCACUCCCCUUGACAAGGAUGGAAGAGGCUCUCGGGCCUGACAACACGCAAAAGUCUGAUAUAUAU